UUCCGGUUGAUCCUGCCGGAGGCUACCGCUAUUGGAGUUCGAUUAAGCCAUGCGAGUCGCGAGUCUUAGGGACUCGGCGUACCGCUCAGUAACACGUGGGUAACCUGCCCUAUGCUGGGGGAUAACCUCGGGAAACUGAGAAUAAUACCCCAUAGUUCACCACGCCUGGAACGGUGGGUGGAUCAAAGCUCCGGCGGCAUAGGAUGGGCCUGCGGCGUAUCAGGUUGUAGGGGGUGUAAUGUACCCUCUAGCCCUCUACGCGUACGGGUGUUGAGAGACAUCGCCCGGAGAUGGAUUCUGAGACACGAAUCCAGACCCUACGGGGUGCAGCAGGCGCGAAAACUUGGCAAUGCGAGAAAUCGUGACCAGGGAACUCCAAGUGGCUGGGGUAAGACCCAGUCUUUUCUUGACUCUUCAAAGGUCUUGGAAUAAGAGGUGGGUAAGGACGGUGCCAGCCGCCGCGGUAAUACCGGCGCCUCAAGUGGUAGUCGCUUUUAUUGGGCCUAAAACGUCCGUAGCCGGUCUGGUACAUUCGUGGGUAAAUCAACCCGCUCAACGGGUUGAAUUCUGCGAGCACGGCCAGACUUGGGACCGGGAGAGGUGUGGGGUACUCUCAGGGUAGGGGUAAAAUCCUGUCAUCCUGAGAGGACCACCUGUUGCGAAGGCGCCACACUAGAACGGAUCCGACGGUCAGGGACGAAACCUAGGGGCACGAACCGGAUUAGAUACCCGGGUAGUCCUAGGUGUAAACGCUGUGGACUUGAUGUUGGGGGCGCUCCGAGCGCUUUCAGUGUCGAAGCGAAGGUGAUAAGUCCACUGCCUGGGGAGUACGGUCGCAAGGCUGAAACUUAAAGGAAUUGGCGGGGGAGCACUGCAACCUGAGGAUUGUGCGGUUUAAUUGGAUUCAACGCCGGA
RNAcentral lists this ribosomal RNA (915 nucleotides) under uncultured marine archaeon. RNAcentral describes it as "bacterial SSU rRNA". It matches the Rfam family "Archaeal small subunit ribosomal RNA", at positions 1 to 922 of the family's 1478-position model. The record is from RNAcentral.